Molecule: ribosomal RNA, 492 nt
Filed under: uncultured bacterium
Lineage: Bacteria
Description: bacterial SSU rRNA
Rfam family: Bacterial small subunit ribosomal RNA
Source: RNAcentral
CUAGCUACAGGCUUAACACAUGCAAGUCGAGGGGCAGCAUGAGAUAGCUUGCUAUUCAGAUGGCGACCGGCGCACGGGUGAGUAACGCGUAUCCAACCUGGCCCGUAGUAGGGAACAGCCCGGCGAAAGUCGGAUUAAUGCCCUAUGUUCUCCGACGAAGACAUCUGAGUUGGAGCAAAGAUUCAUCGCUACGGGAUGGGGAUGCGUCUGAUUAGGUAGUAGGCGGGGUAACGGCCCACCUAGCCAACGAUCAGUAGGGGUUCUGAGAGGAAGGUCCCCCACAUUGGUACUGGGACACGGACCAAACUCCUACGGGAGGCAGCAGUGAGGAAUAUUGGUCAAUGGGCGAGAGCCUGAACCAGCCAAGUAGCGUGCAAGGACGACUGCCCUAUGGGUUGUAAACUGCUUUUAUGCGGGGAUAAAGUGAGGCAUGUAUGCCUUUUUGCAGGUACCGCAUAAAUAAGGACCGGCUAAUUCCGUGCCAGCAGCCGC